GAGGGUGUAGUGCAGUGGUAGAGCGCAUGCCUAGCACGCAGGAGGUCCCGGGUUCAAUCCCCAGUGCCUCCA
RNAcentral lists this transfer RNA (72 nucleotides) under Camelus dromedarius (Arabian camel). It matches the Rfam family "tRNA". Rfam says of the family: Transfer RNA (tRNA) molecules are approximately 80 nucleotides in length. Their secondary structure includes four short double-helical elements and three loops (D, anti-codon, and T loops). Further hydrogen bonds mediate the characteristic L-shaped molecular structure. tRNAs have two regions of fundamental functional importance: the anti-codon, which is responsible for specific mRNA codon recognition, and the 3' end, to which the tRNAs corresponding amino acid is attached (by aminoacyl-tRNA synthetases). tRNAs cope with the degeneracy of the genetic code in two manners: having more than one tRNA (with a specific anti-codon) for a particular amino acid; and 'wobble' base-pairing, i.e. permitting non-standard base-pairing at the 3rd anti-codon position. The record is from Rfam by way of RNAcentral. Lineage: Eukaryota; Metazoa; Chordata; Mammalia; Artiodactyla; Camelidae. RNAcentral also lists the same sequence under 1 other name.